UCGAGCCGCUGGGGAUUCGUCCCAGGCGAGCGCCCGCCAGAGUUAAACCAAACUCUUGUUAUUUAACCGGUCGUCUGAGUUAAAAUUUUGAAUAAAUCAAAACUUUCAACAACGGAUCUCUUGGUUCUCGCAUCGAUGAAGAACGCAGCGAAAUGCGAUAAGUAAUGUGAAUUGCAGAAUUCAGUGAAUCAUCGAAUCUUUGAACGCACAUUGCGCCCCUUGGUAUUCCGAGGGGCAUGCCUGUUCGAGCGUCAUUACACCACUCAAGCUAUGCUUGGUAUUGGGCGUCGUCCUUAGUUGGGCGCGCCUUAAAGACCUCGGCGAGGCCACUCCGGCUUUAGGCGUAGUAGAAUUUAUUCGAACGUCUGUCAAAGGAGAGGAACUCUGCCGACUGAAACCUUUAUUUUUCUAGGUUGACCUCGGAUCAGGUAGGGAUACCCGCUGAACUUAAGCAUAUCAAUAAGCGGAGGAGAAA
RNAcentral lists this ribosomal RNA (475 nucleotides) under Aureobasidium pullulans. RNAcentral's name for it is "eukaryotic LSU rRNA". The stretch from base 101 to 254 matches the Rfam family "5.8S ribosomal RNA". The record is from RNAcentral. Lineage: Eukaryota; Fungi; Ascomycota; Dothideomycetes; Dothideales; Saccotheciaceae.